This is a long non-coding RNA of Chinchilla lanigera (long-tailed chinchilla), 391 nucleotides long. RefSeq lists it as uncharacterized. Lineage: Eukaryota; Metazoa; Chordata; Mammalia; Rodentia; Chinchillidae. The transcript has 3 exons. The record is from RefSeq and is a predicted model, not a curated record.
UCAAUGACAAUGGAAUCAAUCAUAGUUGAAUCAGCCCAGGAGCCAAGCUGAAGACUGUGCUCAGGAACAGUAAAUCAGAGGCAGCUCGGUGAAGGGGAAUUCUUGCCAAAUUUGUGGGUGCUAGCUGUCAGCAAAUCAAAAAUACAGAGCCAUUUGAGAAAAAUUUCCAGUUAAAGUGGAAUUCUCAAAACCAUGAACUGCCACCAGUCCCACAGCAUGUUGGAUAGUACCUGCUUCACCCAGAGAUGGCCUUGUAGACUCAGGACGGACCUGCUAAGCUGAAGCCCUGGGAUGGAUCCUUCUUUGGAAGAUUUUGUCAUUCAUGAAAUUGGAACUGUCCUUCAAAUGUGUCUUGAAAGAGAAUCAAACUCAGGACCUUGCACUUGCCAGG